RNAcentral lists this ribosomal RNA (537 nucleotides) under uncultured Bacilli bacterium. RNAcentral's name for it is "bacterial SSU rRNA". It matches the Rfam family "Bacterial small subunit ribosomal RNA", at positions 166 to 691 of the family's 1533-position model. Lineage: Bacteria; Bacillati; Bacillota; Bacilli. The record is from RNAcentral.
AUACCGCAUAACAGUAGAUGUUGCAUGACAUUUGCUUAAAAGGUGCAAUUGCAUCACUACCAGAUGGACCUGCGUUGUAUUAGCUAGUUGGUGGGGUAACGGCUCACCAAGGCGACGAUACAUAGCCGACCUGAGAGGGUGAUCGGCCACACUGGGACUGAGACACGGCCCAGACUCCUACGGGAGGCAGCAGUAGGGAAUCUUCGGCAAUGGACGGAAGUCUGACCGAGCAACGCCGCGUGAGUGAAGAAGGUUUUCGGAUCGUAAAGCUCUGUUGUAAGAGAAGAACGAGUGUGAGAGUGGAAAGUUCGCACUGUGACGGUAUCUUACCAGAAAGGGACGGCUAACUACGUGCCAGCAGCCGCGGUAAUACGUAGGUCCCGAGCGUUGUCCGGAUUUAUUGGGCGUAAAGCGAGCGCAGGCGGUUAGAUAAGUCUGAAGUUAAAGGCUGUGGCUUAACCAUAGUACGCUUUGGAAACUGUUUAACUUGAGUGCAAGAGGGGAGAGUGGAAUUCCAUGUGUAGCGGUGAAAUGCGU